This 1321-nucleotide ribosomal RNA is filed under the name uncultured bacterium. RNAcentral describes it as "bacterial SSU rRNA". It matches the Rfam family "Bacterial small subunit ribosomal RNA", at positions 49 to 1340 of the family's 1533-position model. The record is from RNAcentral.
UCGUACGCACUGGCCCAACUGAUUGAUGGUGCUUGCACCUGAUUGACGUUGGAUCACCAGUGAGUGGCGGACGGGUGAGUAACACGUAGGUAACCUGCCCCGGAGCGGGGGAUAACAUUUGGAAACAGAUGCUAAUACCGCAUAACAACAAAAGCCACAUGGCUUUUGUUUGAAAGAUGGCUUUAGCUAUCACUCUGGGAUGGACCUGCGGUGCAUUAGCUAGUUGGUAAGGUAACGGCUUACCAAGGCGAUGAUGCAUAGCCGAGUUGAGAGACUGAUCGGCCACAAUGGAACUGAGACACGGUCCAUACUCCUACGGGAGGCAGCAGUAGGGAAUCUUCCACAAUGGGCGCAAGCCUGAUGGAGCAACACCGCGUGAGUGAAGAAGGGUUUCGGCUCGUAAAGCUCUGUUGUUGGAGAAGAACGUGCGUGAGAGUAACUGUUCACGCAGUGACGGUAUCCAACCAGAAAGUCACGGCUAACUACGUGCCAGCAGCCGCGGUAAUACGUAGGUGGCAAGCGUUAUCCGGAUUUAUUGGGCGUAAAGCGAGCGCAGGCGGUUGCUUAGGUCUGAUGUGAAAGCCUUCGGCUUAACCGAAGAAGUGCAUCGGAAACCGGGCAACUUGAGUGCAGAAGAGGACACUCGAACUCCAUGUGUAGCGGUGGAAGGGGGAGAUCUUUUGGGGAACACCAGUGGCGAAGGCGGCUGUCUGGUCUGCAACUGACGCUGAGGCUCGAAAGCAUGGGUGGCGAACAGGAUUAGAUACCCUGGUAGUCCAUGCCGUAAACGAUGAGUGCUAGGUGUUGGAGGGUUUCCGCCCUUCAGUGCCGGAGCUAACGCAUUAAGCACUCCGCCUGGGGAGUACGACCGCAAGGUUGAAACUCAAAGGAAUUGACGGGGGCCCGCACAAGCGGUGGAGCAUGUGGUUUAAUUCGAAGCUACGCGAAGAACCUUACCAGGUCUUGACAUCUUGCGCUAACCUUAGAGAUAAGGCGUUCCCUUCGGGGACGCAAUGACAGGUGGUGCAUGGUCGUCGACAGCUCGUGUCGUGAGAUGUUGGGUUAAGUCCCGCAACGAGCGCAACCCUUGUUACUAGUUGCCAGCAUUAAGUUGGGCACUCUAGUGAGACUGCCGGUGACAAACCGGAGGAAGGUGGGGACGACGUCAGAUCAUCAUGCCCCUUAUGACCUGGGCUACACACGUGCUACAAUGGACGGUACAACGAGUCGCAAGCUCGCGAGAGUAAGCUAAUCUCUUAAAGCCGUUCUCAGUUCGGACUGUAGGCUGCAACUCGCCUACACGAAGUCGGAAUCGCUAGUA